Molecule: non-coding RNA, 115 nt
Organism: Podarcis lilfordi (Lilford's wall lizard)
Lineage: Eukaryota; Metazoa; Chordata; Lepidosauria; Squamata; Lacertidae
Source: the annotation of a GenBank genome assembly
CUUCUAGUAGCACCUUAGAGACCAACUAAGUUUGUUAUUGGUAUGAGCUUUCGUGUGCAUGCACACUUCAGAUACCAAUAACAAACUUAGUUGGUCUCUAAGGUGCUACGGGACG